UUCUGAUAUUCCAGAAAUGUCUCACACUGAAAGCUCUAGAACUAAAUCCCAGUGGUGUUGAUACUUCCAAAAUGCUCAGGAAGAGGCCUUCUUUUGAGCAGCAAUGCACUGAAGUUUCCCAUUUCACCCUCCACAUCUGAGUAGCACAGGAACUGAGAGAAUUGAAAGAGAAAGAAGCCUGAGUCAAAUCAGUGAUCAAGAAAAUGGAAAUCCUUUUAUGGGUGGUUAAAGGAAUGGAAGAGAAAACUGGGCUAUUAUAGUUGUGUGUCAUCCAGGAUCUCCACAUCUUGAUGCUCAACUCCAGAAAGCUCCAGACACAUUUAGAACUCAAACUCUUCAAGAAUCUCAAAAACCAGGGACAUCAAAGCACACAGGUUCCAUUGUCCAUGCUGAUGGAUACCAAGAGAGGGCUGAGGAAUAUGUCCUUGGGCAGCUGUGGGAAAGUGACUUAGGUUGUCAAAACAAGUACUACUGUGAAAGAAGCUUCCAAUAAGAGAUAAGUUCUCAAUAAAAUAUCACCAAGCAAAUGAAGAUUAACACCAUGAAAAAGAGACUCAACAAAUAAAAGAAUUGUUUUAUCUACUAUAAGAAAUAGAAAUUCGAAACAAUAUGGCAAGAACUUAAACGUAAAAGACUCAAACAACAAAGAAGGAAAUAGCAAUUUUGAAACAAGAGCAAAUAGUUGUGAAAACUUGCCAAAUGAAAGUUUUCAAAACAAAAUUGUAAUUUCUCAAAGAAAAAACAUGCAGUACGUUAUGUGAAUCUCAGGUUGGGGCCUACCAUAUAUAUCAGAACAGCAAGAAUAAAUUUAAAAAUCUAAAAGAGUAAAGAAGUUUACGGAUAAAAGAAUGAGAAGUAGACUGACAUUGUACUUUUCAUCAACGUGUUGAAUGCCUAAAGAAUAGAAGGAAAAUAAGUUUAAAAUUUUGAAUCUAUGAUGAAGAAAUUAUCCAUAUGCAUUGAUUAACCAUAUGCAUAUUUGACAUUAAAAUAAUUCAUAAUUAGGGCUAACAGAUUUCUGGCUUAAAAAAAUCUAACAAUUACUUUAAGAAGCAAAAGACGUUUCCAGAAUAAAGUAGGGGGAUAUAUAGAAAAGCUGGUACUUUUUUUAAACAGAGUCUUCUUUUGUAAGGAAGUAGAAUUUAUUCAUCAAAGAUUUAUGAAAAGUAUGGUGGUAUAGUGAGUGGCCUCACUAGUUUUAACGAUUGAUAUUUGAAUAUAGCUUAGUCUUAUAACAACCCCCCACAUAAAAAUUUAAAAUUCAUUUGUAUCCCUUUGAUUUUCAGUGCUAAAAACUAGAUUGUGAAUGUCCAGGAAAUAUUUAAGUUAUUUCCGAACUAAUGUAUUUGUAGAGAGAAGAAGGGAGUGUGCCCGUGAUCAAGAAUUAUGUUUUGAAAAUAAAUGAAUGAUUGGCUAUUAAAAAAAUUUUUAAGCCUUUGGGAUCUUGCAAAUUUUAUUUAAUCUUGAUAUCAUUAAGACUAACCCAAGUUCAAUAGAAGUACCAAUUAGAGGCCAGAGAAUUUAAAUACCAAUUUCAGGAAGUUAAUUUGAUGUACAAAAAGUCUUAUAUUUAAUUUCUUCUUUGUCCCUGAAAUCAAAGAUAUAAAUAAGCUCAAUUUGGAACCAACUUGGAGAUUAAUACAUAAUUUUACAGUUCUCCAAGUUUCCACAAGUCUCAAGAUGCAAAGGGAGACAUUAAAUAAAAAAUUGGCUC
Symphalangus syndactylus (siamang) is the source of this 1714-nucleotide long non-coding RNA. RefSeq lists it as uncharacterized. NCBI's taxonomy places the organism in Eukaryota, Metazoa, Chordata, Mammalia, Primates, Hylobatidae. The record is from RefSeq and is a predicted model, not a curated record.